RNAcentral lists this ribosomal RNA (388 nucleotides) under uncultured bacterium. RNAcentral describes it as "bacterial SSU rRNA". It matches the Rfam family "Bacterial small subunit ribosomal RNA", at positions 29 to 419 of the family's 1533-position model. The record is from RNAcentral.
AACGAACGCUGGCGGCGUGCCUAACACAUGCAAGUCGAACGGAAGUAGCAAUACUUUAGUGGCGCACGGGUGAGUAAUGCAUGGGUAAUCUGCCCUGAGGAUUGGGAUAGCUACGCGAAAGUGUAGGUAAUACCGGAUAAGCUGCAGUUAUAAUUUAAUUGCAGGAAUGGCUAGCCGCAAGGCCGGCGCCUUAGGAUGAGCUCAUGUCCUAUUAGCUAGUUGGCGGGGUAACGGCCCACCAAGGCGAAGAUGGGUAACUGGUCUGAGAGGACGAUCAGUCACACUGGAACUGAGACACGGUCCAGACUCCUACGGGAGGCAGCAGUGGGAAUAUUGCACAAUGGAGGAACUCUGAUGCAGCAACGCCGCGUGAGUGAUGAAGGCCUUC